Molecule: unclassified non-coding RNA, 1395 nt
Filed under: Hevea brasiliensis (rubber tree)
Lineage: Eukaryota; Viridiplantae; Streptophyta; Magnoliopsida; Malpighiales; Euphorbiaceae
Source: RNAcentral
CCACAACAGAAAUUAACAAAUUCAAAAUCCAAAGCAAAUCCAGAAGAAGACGAAGCUAACGCUGUUGCUUCUAGUGAUUAUUUUGGUGGUUGGGGAUGAAGUCGAGGAAGGCGCUGUGGAGGUGUAUACGCACUGUGGAGGUUCACCUAUUGUGUGAAGCAAAGGAGAUUGCGCAAGGAGCGAUUAAAGUGAAACCAAACAUGAUGGGUUGUUUGGGCUGCGCAAGGUUGAAUAGCAUUCUCACAUUCAGUGCGAGUCGCAAUUAAUCCAAGAACACUUCUUUUCUAUGCAUAACGCAAUUCAAGAACACUUCUUUUCUAUAUUAGUCAAGUCAAACAAACACCUAACCGAUGCCAUAAAGAUCCAGCGCACUAACUACACUGAUAUUGUGCGGAUCAAAUGCAAUGUGUCGUAUCAAUAUGAUGGGUUGAUGAUUCUUCAGAUGCAUGAUCACCAAUGACUAUCUCAGGAUACUGACGUAGUAAAUCACAUUGGUAGAAUGAUCAAACAAUAGUUUAAAGAUAGGUUAUUUUAGGAGUGCUAUAAAAAUGGACAAAUGGUUGGUGUGCUCAAACUAGAUAGCUACUUCAAGAAAAGAAUCCGGAUAUAAAAUUGAAGGCAAAAGUCAAAAACUUCCACAAUACGACAUGAAAAACUCAUGUUUGACGUAAAAAAGUACCAGGCAAACCAAGAAGGUAAUUAAUUAACAGUACUCUCUACAUCUACUUCCAAUUAAAGAACUAGACUCCAAUAUUCCAUCAUCCUCAUCAAAGUUGGAGUAAAUCACUCAGUGAGCAACUGCAAUCCGUCCAGCAACUUGGUCAAGAUCCCUCUGGCCACUAGAUGUAAUUCUUCUACCGCCCUUAGUAUCAAGGUCAAUGAUGUUCAUGUUCUGUAAUUGCUGAAGAAUGUGUCGGGCAAUAGAUCCACUACUCUUGCCAAAAUGAGGUGGGCGACUACCAUUCCUCUUGCUCCCUCCGUAGAUCCUCCUGAACGCACCAACACCAAGACCACCCCUCAAGUAUAUUUUCCUCGCCAUGGAAGCAGCCCUUAUGUAGUACCAAUCAGGAUCAUAGGGUGCAAGCUCCUUCAAAGUGCCAGUCUUCACAAUAUCAGUCCAUGGAGGAAGCUCAACCUUUCCGGAGCGCUUGAGGUGGGCAGCGUAGGCCUUAACGAACUCGUGAGGAGAGACGUCCUUCACCGUUCUUGCUGCCUCCAUUUUGUUUUGUGUCCCUUUAGCCCUGCUUCCGGUGGUCUAGCUAGCCGUUGCGCCGCGGAACUCCAAUAGAGAAGAGAGUGCGCUAAUGCUUUCGGGUGAAGGAUUUUGUUAGUUGUUGCAACAUCUUUUGUUCUGCAUUAAUUUAUUAAUUGGAUGUUAUCAUCCUCAACUGCAAA